GAUGAACGCUGGCGGCGUGCCUAAUACAUGCAAGUCGAGCGAACAGACGAGGAGCUUGCUCCUCUGACGUUAGCGGCGGACGGGUGAGUAACACGUGGAUAACCUACCUAUAAGACUGGGAUAACUUCGGGAAACCGGAGCUAAUACCGGAUAAUAUAUUGAACCGCAUGGUUCAAUAGUGAGAGACGGUUUUGCUGUCACUUAUAGAUGGAUCCGCGCCGCAUUAGCUAGUUGGUAAGGUAACGGCUUACCAAGGCGACGAUGCGUAGCCGACCUGAGAGGGUGAUCGGCCACACUGGAACUGAGACACGGUCCAGACUCCUACGGGAGGCAGCAGUAGGGAAUCUUCCGCAAAGGGCGAAAGCCUGACGGAGCAACGCCGCGUGAGUGAUGAAGGUCUUCGGAUCGUAAAACUCUGUUAUUAGGGAAGAACAAAUGUGUAAGUAACUAUGCACGUCUUGACGGUACCUAAUCAGAAAGCCACGGCUAACUACGUG
Molecule: ribosomal RNA, 497 nt
Filed under: uncultured bacterium
Lineage: Bacteria
Description: partial 16S ribosomal RNA
Rfam family: Bacterial small subunit ribosomal RNA
Source: RNAcentral